GGCCGGGCUGGACGGGGACGGCCCCGGGCCCGCCGUGCUCGGCGGACUCGGGGCCACCCGGAUCACCUUCGGGCCGGGCCUCC
Molecule: transfer RNA, 83 nt
Filed under: Streptomyces canarius
Lineage: Bacteria; Bacillati; Actinomycetota; Actinomycetes; Kitasatosporales; Streptomycetaceae
Description: tRNA-Gly
Source: RNAcentral